RNAcentral lists this ribosomal RNA (376 nucleotides) under Phaeocystis globosa. RNAcentral describes it as "SSU rRNA". It matches the Rfam family "Eukaryotic small subunit ribosomal RNA", at positions 597 to 976 of the family's 1831-position model. Lineage: Eukaryota; Haptophyta; Phaeocystales; Phaeocystaceae. The record is from RNAcentral. RNAcentral also lists the same sequence under 1 other name.
GCGUAUAUUAAAGUUGUUGCAGUUAAAACGCUCGUAGUCGGGUUUCGGGUCGGGCCGAGCGGUCUGCCGAUGGGUAUGCACUGUUUGGCGCGGCCUUCUUUCCGGAGACCGCGGCUACUCUUAACUGAGCGGGCGUGGGAGACGGAUCGUUUACUUUGAAAAAAUCAGAGUGUUUCAAGCAGGCAGCUCGCUCUUGCAUGGUACAGCAUGGGAUGAUUGAAUAGGACUCCGGUGCUAUUUUGUUGGUUUCGAACACCAGGAGUAAUGAUUAACAGGGACAGUCAGGGGCACUCGUAUUCCGUCGAGAGAGGUGAAAUUCUCAGACCAAUGGAAGACGAACCACUGCGAAAGCAUUUGCCAGGGAUGUUUUCACUGA